This is a long non-coding RNA of Cyprinus carpio carpio, 1571 nucleotides long. The record is from Ensembl. NCBI's taxonomy places the organism in Eukaryota, Metazoa, Chordata, Actinopteri, Cypriniformes, Cyprinidae.
CCCAUCUCUGAUAGAUACAUCAGAGCCAGCAGCAAAUUCCAGAACUUCUGGCUGAGGUGAGGCUGCUCUCAGCGGGUUCAUGAGCACUGAACAGCCGCUGACGCUCUGGAGCUCACAUCUCCCAAAACGUCGAAGCAAAUUUUCAUAUAGACAAUAUAUUUAUUAACAAAUCGCAUAUUUGAAGUCUAAACCAGUACAUUCUCGCCUAAAAAAUACACUUAAAACUACAUCCGUGACACAAAAACAGUAUAAUUUAUAACAUUUUAGUGGAAUUGGGCGUCCACCAUGACAUCACUUGAAUAUCGCACUCUUAUCAGCCAAUCAGAUUUGAGGACCAGAAAAACUGCUUUAUAUACUGUAUAUAUCAUGUGUAUGUGUGUAAAUGAGUAGCCUACUGUAUGUAUGUUUAGAGUUAUGUGUUGUCAAUGUAAAGAUUCUUAUAAAUAUGCCAAUAAAAGUAGCCUAUGUGUCACGAAUCCUGUCAAUGAACUUCAGACUGUUACACAUCACCCUGGACUACAUUUCCCAUGCUCCAUUGCACUUAUCACAAGUUCACCUGAAACCAAUCACACACAGCUGCUACCAAUAACACACAGUAUAUAAAUCAGUCUCACACCACCAUUCACUGCCGAGUAUUGUUUGCGUUUAUUCCUCAGUCAGUGAUAGCACUUUACGGAGCUAUUCCGUUUUUUCAUAGUUUAACCUUGUUUAUUGCCUGAGUCAUUCAUGUCUUGAUCCUAGCCUGUGUUUGUCAUUUCUUUGUGUUCUCUGCCUGCCCUGAAGUUUAUAGCCUGUCUUUGAUUACCCCUCUCGUCUUGCUCUGUUCGGAUAAUACUUACCCCUCGCCUGGACCAUAGCCUGUGUUUCGGAUUUACCCUUUGGAUUACUCUGUUUUGAUAUUGUUCGCUGGAGAUCAACCAUGCCCAAUCACUGGACUACUCUUACAUCUUGCCCUCAAUAUGCCUGUUUGCCAUCGUCUGACUCUCACCUGUUUUGACCAUGUCCUUAAAUAAAGCUUGCACAUGGAUCCGCAUGCCUCACAUCUCGUCGGCUCCGUUACAGAAUGCUCAGCCAAACAAGUAUCCAGCACCUUUUCAGAGGAACAUUGGCCAGGCCCCAGUUCAUGCCAUGGGUUCCUGAUCACUCUGGUUCACCGUGGUGGUCUGCCAAUAUGCUUUGGUGGGCCAAAGCUCCGUCUGCUCUGUCGUGGUGGUUUUCGGCUGCGCGCUGCUGGCCUUCUGCUCUAGCCUGGUGGUCUUCUGCUCAGUCUGCUCCGGCCUGGUGAUCUUCUGUCCUGCUCUGGUGGUCUUCUUCCAAAAGAAGUCAAAUAAAGUGUAUCCAUCCAUAAUAAGUGCCUCACAUGGCUCCGGGGGUGAACAAAGGCCUCCUGUAGUGAAUCGAUGCGUUUUUGUAAGAAAAAUGUCUAUAUUUAAAAUGUAAUAAUCACUUUAAUGUAGCUUUUGCCAACAGUUGUACACAGAAGCAGCUCCAGGAGGAUUUUUUUAUAUAUAACUUAAAAAUUUGGAUUCAUCUGAAAGAAGAAAGUCAUAUAAACCUAGGAUGCCUUGAAG